GAUGAAGAACGCAGCGAAAUGCGAUAAGUAGUGUGAAUUGCAGAAUUCAGUGAAUCAUCGAAUCUUUGAACGCACAUUGCGCCCCUUGGUAUCCCGAGGGGCAUGCCUGUUCGAGCGUCAUUUCACCACUCAAGCCUGGCUUGGUGUUGGGCGACGUCCUCUUUGGGGACGCGCCUCGAAACGCUCGGCGGCGUGGCACCGGCUUUAAGCGUAGCAGAAUCUUUCGCUCUGGAAGUCGGGGCCCCGUCUGCCGGAAGACCUGCUCGCAAGGUUGACCUCGGAUCAGGUAGGGAUACCCGCUGAACUUAAGCAUAUCAAUAAGCGGAGGA
RNAcentral lists this unclassified non-coding RNA (329 nucleotides) under soil metagenome. Its description in RNAcentral is "partial contains 5.8S ribosomal RNA, internal transcribed spacer 2, and large subunit ribosomal RNA". The stretch from base 1 to 120 matches the Rfam family "5.8S ribosomal RNA", at positions 35 to 154 of the family's 154-position model. The record is from RNAcentral.